This 86-nucleotide transfer RNA is filed under the name Maridesulfovibrio ferrireducens. Its description in RNAcentral is "Desulfovibrio ferrireducens tRNA_Leu_CAG". It matches the Rfam family "tRNA". Rfam says of the family: Transfer RNA (tRNA) molecules are approximately 80 nucleotides in length. Their secondary structure includes four short double-helical elements and three loops (D, anti-codon, and T loops). Lineage: Bacteria; Pseudomonadati; Thermodesulfobacteriota; Desulfovibrionia; Desulfovibrionales; Desulfovibrionaceae. The record is from RNAcentral.
GCCGAAGUGGUGGAAUUGGUAGACACGCUAGGUUCAGGGUCUAGUGGAGUUACUCCGUGGAAGUUCGAGUCUUCUCUUCGGCACCA